AAGCAAAAAAAACAAAAAAAAACAAAAAAACCCAACCUAAUAAAUGGCUCAGGUUCCAGUAGUCAGCUGGAGAAGGGGGAGUAGAAAUGGGAGAAAUUGGUGGUGUGGAAACAAAUAAUAAUUCCUCCUCACCAGUCAUCAAUCUAAGAAAGGAAGGCCCAGAAAAGAACACUAAGGUCCAGCUCUGUGACUCUUUCUAUUCCAUUACCAUAGAAACAGAAUCUCCCUUAAGGGUCUCUGCUUUUGGUCUUUCAGAUCCCAAAUACACUAUUCUCUGUUUCGUGCCAAGGCCCAAAAUGAAGACUCCGAGAUUUUUCCUUAAAAAAUACAGCACAGUGAGCUUCCCAGGAGAUAAAGAAACUGAAGUUUGCCUAAGGUAAUCAUCUAAUUGACAAGUCAGGUUCAAGCCUAGAUGAGUCCAGCUUCAGAAUUUGGGUUUCAAUCACUGCAUGGCAUUGCUUCUCUUUCCUAACUUGGACUCAGUGAUUGUGCAAACAGUGAUGCCAACCAUCUCAGCUUGCCUGUGUAGGGAUGAAGAGAAUUUCUUUCCCUCUUG
Molecule: non-coding RNA, 556 nt
Organism: Macaca mulatta (Rhesus monkey)
Lineage: Eukaryota; Metazoa; Chordata; Mammalia; Primates; Cercopithecidae
Source: RefSeq, a predicted model, not a curated record